Molecule: long non-coding RNA, 42400 nt
Filed under: Citrus maxima (pomelo)
Lineage: Eukaryota; Viridiplantae; Streptophyta; Magnoliopsida; Sapindales; Rutaceae
Description: long non-coding RNA (CMAX_LNC001094)
Source: RNAcentral
UUUUUUUUAAGAGUGCAUGCUAAGUUAUUUUUUUUAACUCUAUGUAAUUUUUUGGAUCCAUGUGCCUUUAUUCAAAUUUAAUAGAAUCAAAAAUUCAAAACUCAAGUUCAUAUUCAAUAAUAAUAAAUUAAUACUAAUAAGAUAAUGUAAUAUUAAUUACUAAGUUUGACUAUGUGGUAUUAGAAUUCUUUUUUAGUUCUUAACAACAACAAUAAUAAUAAUUUUUUAAGGGUUAAAUUAAUUGUUAACUUAGAAUUACGUAAAGUCAUUUAUCAUAGUUUAUAAUAAUAUUAAUACAUAUUUAUAAAAUCAUAAGAUCAAUUACUUAUUUAAUAAAUUAUAAACAUAAAUCAAUUAUAAUUUUUUUGAAACUAAGAAUUAAAUAAAUUAAAAAAACAUGAGCUAAUAAAAUGUAUUAAAAGAUUCAAUUUCAAGUUAUUUAUAAAAUCAUAAAAUUUUAAAUUUAUUUUUAUUAAAAAAUAAAAAUAUUUAUUGUAUAUUUUUUCACAUAUCGUACUUUAUCUCAUUUUUAAUUGUGUCAUACUUUUAAUAUCCAUAUACUUAAAAUUUUAAGCUCAGCCCAACUCACAUGCGUGCCAUGUUGUGUCGCAUACUCUACCAAAAUAUUCUCAUACUGUAUCGUACUAUACAAACACAUGGCAUACCUCGUGCCGUCCUGUCUAUAGACCACCUCUAACAAGCACACCUACAGCACUAUGGAAAUAAUAAUUAAGGACGUGGGUCUCGAACGGAUUAAUUUAGUAAAAAUGAAUCCAACAAUUGACCUCGGUCUUGAUGCGUCAAUUGCUUAAACACACACACAAACAGAUAUAUAUAUAUAUAUAUAUAGAAAAAGAAAUUAAAAUCUGGUGCUUAUAAACAAUAAUUGAAAAUGAAAAGUGAUUACCAUCAAAGACAAGAUAGGGAGAAAGCGUGGAGUGGGAGGUGGCUGUGGUGGUUUCCAAGUAAAGCAGAUCUUUCGUCUGCCAUGGCAAGAUCUCUGUUCAGAGAAUAAAAAUUAAAGCAGUGAGAGAGUGAGAGACCUCUUCUUCCUCUCGGGAUACCCACAACAUGUCACUUCUUUGCCGUACGGCACAUUAUAAUCUAAAAAAUAUAAUUUUUGAAGAGAAAGAUUACAUCACUAUUCACCAUGGAAAGUCUGUCAGCGCCCAGCCAGCAUGCAUAAUUAUAGGUAAGCCAAGAGCUAGCCAAUAAUAAAAUAUAUUCUACAUUUCUACUGUUUGAAACAGAGCCACUCGACUCAAUCGAGCUAGAUCCUAUAAAUGAUUUUUAAAUUUUCAAUUACAUAUACCAAACUGAUUGGCAGAAUAAAAUCUUGGUUGGCACAAUUUACUAUUUUAUGCUCAAUCGCAGUCCUGGUGAAUGGUGGUGAUGAUAUAUUUUUAGCAGGUUCCAUAAUUAAAAAAAAAAAAAAGUAAAGAAAAGAAAAGAAAGAAAGUCGCCUGUUUAGUUUGAGAGAUAACCUAUUAGAUUAUCUAAAAUAUUAGAGACAACCUAUUAGAUUAUCUACAAUCAAUCAAUCAUAGCUUGGUAAUAUUGUUUAUUAUAUUUUUAACAGGUUUUUUAUUUAAAGAAAGAAAAAAAUUUUGCUUGUGUGCAUGAGAGAGCAGUGUAUCUAAAAUUUUUAUUUGAUACAAUUUUUCAAAUAAAACUAAUUGAACUUAAACUUUUACAAAUAGAAUUUUUUUAAAAAAAUUUAAGCUAUGUUAUUGAAUAAAUGAAAUAAGAUCAUUAAAUAAAUAAAAUGAUGUUUUAGAUAUUUUAAUAUUUAAAAAAAUUCAACCUCUACUUUCAGAAGACUAAAAUUUUAUCUCCUAUUUGUAGAGACAAAAUAACUUAUUUAAUAUUCAAAAACUCUACUGAAAAAUAACCAAAUAACAACAAAAAAACUUUAAAAAAAAUCAUGUGAGAUCAAAUAAUUAUUUAUGAGUGUGUUUGGUUAUAGUAUUAAGGGGGUAUUAAAUUACUAUUUGCAUUAAGUUAAUACUUAUAUCAUGUUUGGAAAAACAUGGCAUGAGAUAAAAGCACUUAGUUGCCGCAUUAGCUUACCUUUUUUUUUUUUUUUUCUCUUUUCCUUCUUUGGCAGCUUGCGUUUUUUUUUUCCCUUCUUCUUUCUUUUCCAUUUACUUUUUGUUUUAACUUUUAUUUUUACUUAUAAUAAUAAAAAAAAUAAAGAUAACUUAAAAAUGUUAUAUAAUAUUAUAUAAUAUUUUUAUUUUUAAUUAUAAUUUAAUAUAAAUUAAUAAAUAUAUAAUUUUUUAUUCAAUAAUAUUAUAUUAUAUUUUUAUUUUUAUAUUAUAAUUUAUUAAUAAAUUUAUAAUAUAAUAUAACUAAUAAUAAAUAUUUAAAUAUUAAUAAUAUUAAUUUAAAAUUAUUAAGAAUAUAAAUAUUAAUUAAUAAAAUAUAAAAUUUAAAUUAAUUACAAAACAAUUAAUACAGUACAGUGUAGUGCCAAACAUUGCACAGUAUUAUUAUAAUACAAUGCUAAUACAAUACAGCAUAAUACAAUACAUCAACAUUAAAAUAAUACAAUACAGCAUAAUACAAUACAGUGUGCCAAACGCACCCUAUAGUCAUUAGAUAAAACGUACUAAACAGACACUAACUAAAGAUUUCAAGAUUGUGUCAUCAUUAAUUUGUGUAUAAUAUACAUUAAAUUCAAAUUCUUUCACAAAAAAUAUAAAUAUAAAUUUGACUAAGGACCAACUUGGUAAUGUUGUAGUAUUUAAAAUAUUUUUUGUUAGUUGUACUAUAUAAACAAUCAACUGUGAAGAGAAUGAGCUAAACUUUUGGUAAUAAUUAUUUUUAAAAGUGUUGUGAGCUUUAAAAGCAAUAGUAUGUGUUUGGUAAAUUUUAUUAUUAAACUGCUGCAAGAAUAAAAAUUACUAAAAUAGAUAUAAUGUUUAAUAAAAUUAUUUUCAAAUUUAUAAACCUGUAUGUAUAAUAUAUAUAUUUUAGUGUGUGUGUGUGUGUGUGUGUGUAUAAUAAUUGAAAACUAAAUAAAUAUUCUCACCUUAUUAAUUUUGCUUUUUUUAAUUUUGUUAUCUCAAUAUAAUUGGUAAUAAUAAUAAUCCCUUUAAAUUUAAUAAUUUUAUUUUCUAAUUAAAUAAGGAUAAUUUUAUAUGUGAAAAUAUAUAUGAAAUUGCAUGUAUAACAUUAAUUCUCAAAUUUAGAUGAGAAGCUACUCCUUCACUACUUUGAAAUCUACUGUAUGAUUAGGUAAUUUUUCUGAAUGUAAAUAUUAAAAAACUUUACCAAACAUUAAAUUAGUUUUCAACAUUUUUAAAUCAUUUUUAAACCUCUUGAAAGCGAUUCCAAAAGGAUCCAAGGAGAUUAAGAUCACUAAUAAUUACAACUCAUAUUUACAAAAGCUAUCCAAAAAAUUAAACUAAGUAAUAAAUUACAUAACUCUUAACCAUACGUUCUAUAAAAUAUGGAUACGUGUAAAAAAAAUUAUAAUAAAUUUAACACAAUUCAGUUCAAACACUGAAUUUAAAUUCUUAUAAUAUCACCACUAAAAAGAGUAAUUCAAGGAGGAAGAAAGAUAGCUUCAAUUAUGGAUUAAGGACUAAUGUACUUCCAAUCCAUUUAAUAGCUUUAUAUUGUUUUCUUAACAUUUGGGUAAUCCAUUCUUAGUUCUUACAUCAUAGAACUUGGUGAAUUUGGUACAUCUAUUGAAGUUCUAUUAUAGUGUAGUGACAUCGUCGACUCGACUUUGCGUGCAAAACGACUCCACCCCUUUAUGUCAUUGUCAAAUACGAUGCUAGCCAGAGCCAAAUGGAUCUUAUGAAGGCUUAUUAGCUUGGAUAGACGGAUACAUGAUUCACAAUUAGUCAAAGCAGGAUUAUUAAUAAAGAAAGCUCUCGUCCAUUCAAAAGUAGGGUUAAAAAAAAAAAAAAAAAAGGAAAAAAAAAUGAUUCCCUUGAUUUGUCUAGCUAGCUGCGAUUGCAACUUCCAUAACAAAAAGUAUUAUGAUAAUUAUGGGACCCUUGAAGUGGGAAACCCAGCCCACAUCUUCGUCUUUUACAAACUUUACUUUUGUUAUGUUGCGAACCCUUUAAAGGAUUUGGUGACAGUUGCAUGGAGGAACAAUCCAGUGUCCAACUUUAACACCGCAUUGAUGUUGACCUGUGGGGUUCCCUUCUUCUUUUCCUUCUUUCGAAAGUAUCAUAGCAUGCACAACUGUACGACCCUACCCCAUAUCAAAACCCCCAUGAGAAUGGGGACUCUACGGCCCCAUUUCACCAUCAUUUGGUCAGCUGGUUUUUCAUUUUUGAACUUGAACUUCUAGCAUGACAAAAUACAAAUCACGAAUGGCUUUGUGGACUAAGCUAAUUAGCUUUUACAUUUCAUCAUCAUUCUUACAAGCAAUAAAGCUUAACUAUUUUCCGUGAAACACUUUCAUUACUGAUUAUCAACAGAUAAAAAGUAAUUAAUAAAGUUAUUUGCAAGUACUAUGAAUAAUGAAGUGGACCUUUCUCUUGAGGAAUUUGCAGUUAAACCCCCAUCCGAUCCCCACGUGCCACUUCCAACUUACUAUAUAUCCACGCCAUAAGCUUUAUCCAGACUGAUUUGUGAGAGACUAUUAUUGAUUACAGAAAAUCCACUCAGCUUGUAACACGGACAAUUCAGCGGAUUAAUUUGGAUUACGUUGAGGUGACAAGGCUUGGCAAGAUUCGCAUCACCUUCGUUCUUUUAAUCAUCUUGAAUUAUGUACUCAAUAGCACUACUGACUCAUAUACGUAGACCAAAAUCCGGGCCUUUUUGACUCACACGUUAAGGAAAAGUGAUCAUUAUAGCAGGAAAUUAAAUUAAUAUGGAAGUGUUAUCUUAUUUGAGAUUAGAGGGAGUAGUAGUUAUCGCUUAAUUACCAGUUCAAUGCGAUGAUUUAUUUUCUCAAGAACGGUUCUUCAUGGUCCCAGCUUUGGAACAACGUAACCCAACAAGUACAAUAUACUAAGGAUCCCUAAGUUACAUGCAUGUACCUUACAACCCUCUCACAUGAAUAGUGAGUGGGAUACUAUUCAUGUGAGAGGGUUGUAAGGUACAUGCAUGUAACUUAGCAUUAGCCAUAUACUAAUAUGGUAUGCGGACGGCACUAGUUUUGGAGUGCAGAAGUAAUGUAUUUGCCAAAUAAUUUGUCCAUAAGAGUGUCAUGAGUGAUUUUUAAGUAGUUUUAUUUAGUUAAUUACUCGAAUUUAAAUGACGGAACAAUAAAAAUUAAUUUAGAUUUUGCUCACCCCUUUUUUUUUUUUUUUAAAAAGAAAAUUGUCAAGUAAUUAUGGUUUGCUAAUAGUGGAUUCACAAUAUAUAAUUUAAAUUGGCAAGUGUGUAUAUACCCAAUACAUUAAAAUGUGUAAUAGAAAACACAUGCAAUAAAUACCAAUCACAACUUUUUAAAAAGUCAAUACAAAAAUCAUAUCACCAGUGAUUUUCACUCCCAAUUAAUAAUAAUUGAUGUUAGUUGCACUGUAAAAAUAAUGAGGUAUGAGAAAAAUCAGUUAAAUAUUUGGUAAAAUUUAUUUUUAAAGUGUUUUAAGUUUUAAAAGCAACCAUAAGUGUUUGGUAAAUUUUACUAUUAAAUCGAUGUAAGAAUAUAAAUAAAUGAAAUUGAUAUAAUAUUGAAUAAAAUUUAUUUACGCCAUUUAUAAUUAUGCAUAUAUAAUAUUUAUUAUUGCGUAUAUAUAGUAAUUAAUAACUAAAAUGAAUAUUUUUUUAUUAAUUUUAUUUUUUAUCUCAAUAUAAUUAGAAAUAAUAGAAAUCUCUUUAAAUUUGAUGAUUUUAUUUUCAAAUUGAAUAAGGAUAAUUUUGGAUUUUUAUAAUAUGUGAGGAUAUAUACGGAAUUUUAUUAAAUACGAAAUUGAUUGUCAUUUGAAAAGUUACUCUUUCUUUGCUUUUGAAAAUCUAUUGCCAAAUAUGGUGAUUUUCGAAAAAGUGAUUUUAAAAAAAUUAUCAAACUCGAAAUUAGAUUUUAAAAAAAAUUAUUAAACUCGAAAUUAACUUUAAAAUUUUCAAAAUUAAUUUUGAACCUCUCAAAAGCAAUCCCAAAUGGACCCCUAAUUUGUUUGGUCUUUUUUUUUUUAAACUUCAAAAUCAAGAUUAAAAUAUCUAUUUAAAAAAUCAAAAUUGUUCCCCAAAAAUAUGUAUCGGAAUGUCUACGGCAUUAAUCGUAAGACCAAGAGAGCUUUUAUAGAUUUUAAAACAAGAAAGAAAAUGAUUGUAUUUAUCAAACAAAAGGGGGGGGGGGGGUGGUUGUUCAUCUUUCCUUAUUCAUACUGUCUAUUAUUUUUACUUUAUAAAAAGUUAAGAAUUACCGCGCAGAUUUUCUUUCGUACUUCCUUUAGUUAAAUGUACGUAAUUAAUGCUCCCACAGUAUACAACAUGAUCAUCGAGUGACUUGUUUUGAAAGUAAAUCAAUCCCUUCUCCAAAUUCAUUACUCAUCAGUGUUUUGUUCUUUUCUUCUUCGUCGUCUUCAUCUUUUUUUUUUUUCCUUUUCCUUUUAAUGGAAAAAAAAAUAAAGUAAAAGUAUGUUCGAAGCAUAAAGGAUCCUACAGCUCAACCGUAAGGUAUCUGUGCAUCUCGAGCUUCCUUACGUUAAAAGACUUAAGUUGAAGUAAUCCCUCUCCAUUUGUCAAGAUUAUGUUGACUCAAGUCCAACAACGAGAAACUUCGCAAAUUCUUGCAAUGGGGUUGCUUGGGACCAAAGGUUUGACGCCAAUACAAAUGUGGACCCAACGCAGGCCAUUCCCAUAAAUAUAUAUAUUUUUUAUUACAUGAGAUUAUUGCUCAGAUUACAAUUCAUAUUACAUGAGACUAUAACUGAUAUUUAUAAAUCAGAUAAUUACUGGACCGACUUACAUCAAUGCUAAUGGAGCUCUGCCCAGAUUUUAACCCUCACAAAUAUUCGAGGGAUGUCUACUCCUCACUCAUGGGUAAGGGAAAAUACUACCUUCACUCAAAUUAAUUGAGAAAGAAAAUACCCCUACAAUACUUUUGUGGAGGUUCGAACUGCUGCCCUCCAACUUAGAGGACAGCAGCCCUGACCACUCGGGUUGAGCCGAGUGGUUAUUCCAUAAAUAUAUUCGUUUGCCUUAGUCGUGUGUUGCUUGAAAAAUGUGAAAAUACGACAUCGAUCACAAUGUACAAUAAUUAAUUCCCAUUUCUUGCCAUAUUUCUCAUAUCUAUAUAUACAUAUAUAUAUUGGGCUCGUUACAAUUGUCCUCUUCCAUAUGGCUUCUCAGAGUAUGAUUGAUUAGGCUACUUAUUUCUAAGCUAGUGUAGUUGGUGGAUUUAAGAACCUUCUGAUUAUGAUCGCUUAAUUUGAUGCUAUUCUUUCCUACUAUGAUUUACAUAAUUAAAAUAUAUAACUAUCGUUUUCAACAUAGCAGUCAAAGCCAAAAUUAGCGUAAUCGAGUGAAAUCCUUUUGUAUAUUAAUUAUGUUCGAUCGUCGUAUCCCAUAAGUCAAGGGAAUUUAGGAUAACUAUAACCAAAAGAUAAUUCGUUUAAUAGCGAGAGAUUUGUUGACAGCCGUGAGUAAAGAUGAUUAAUAAGCUUAAAUAAAUUCCUUUUUUUUUUUUAAAGAAAAGUUCAUUCCUUUUUUUAAUAAAAUUAUAAGAUCAACAAAAUUUUAUUUACUGCUAACGUCUGUAUUUUAUAAUUAUAAUAUGGCUAAAUGCUCCUAUCGAUCGCCGAUUAUAUAUUUCGUACGUGGAAAAUAAAUGAUUGCCAGUAUGUGGAGAUAAUUUGUCAGGCCAAUUGCUGAAUCAUCUAGAUUGAUCAAAUUUGGUGAUGCGAAAUUUCUUGAUCUAAUCUCUAGCUUUUUUGAGCUUAUUUCUCUUUCCCCAGGCCCGCUACAGCAACAAGCUUUGAAAUGCUACAUCUAGCUUACUACUAGGCCUGUGCUUUGUUCUUGCUGGCCAGUGGACUGGAUACCUCAAGCUUCAAAGUUAACAAAGUUUUGCAGUAGACCAUAAUCUUAAAUAAACAUUCUUUUCUUUUUUCCAAUGAAUAAUUUAACCGAUGCCAAUAAUUUGAGCUUAUGGAAUAUUACUAUUAUAAAUUUCUGAUCUCUCACUGACACCAUUCCGUGGAACGAAAUUAAGCUGCAUGACUUUAGAGAUACUACAGCAACCCCUAAUUGCCCCAUUCGAUGGAUAAAGUAUGGAGGUUUACUGCAUAUCUAACCAAGUUCAUAGAAAGAAAAAUUUGGUCUCCCCGGUAGAUGCGGCUCGCACAUGCUGCAAGUAAUUCCUUAAUGAAAGUAUUUUAAUUGGACGUGCAACGAGAAGAGUAAUGAUAUUUGGCCAAAAUAGUACCACGGGGGCAAAAAAAAUAGUGUCAUUGAUUGUUGUUUGCUCAAUGUCACUGUAACAUAGGGGCGCACUCUUGCAUGCACAGUAACGUCAUUUAUGUCAAAUAUCAUUAUUCAAAGAGAAUUUGAUAUUUCAAUUGCUAUUGAUUUCAUUUUGUUAGAUUAGGUGGCUCAACAAAAAGAACACUAGAACUAUACAAUUCACCCAUCAAUUAUAUAAAUUUUCCUCUAGACCUUUUACUACUGAACGCAUUUCUUGUGUUUGCUCAUUUUGAGGUACAUUCAAUUCUUAUUGGAUGAUACCAAUAAGUCGUGUUCAGAAAGUUUUGAGAGUUAUAAAGGAAACUUCGAAUUCAUAUUAGCCCAUGAGCUGAGAAUGGGAAUUAAACUCUAUGAGAUAUAUUGUUCUGCUAUUCCUUAGCUUCACAUUAAUAACAAUAGAUCUUUUAUAUGUAAGACCAAAAAAGAUACUAUAUUGUCACGCAAAUUUUAGCCUCUUCCACAACAAAAGGACUAUUAUUAGCACAAUGAAUAAUUGAAAAAAAAUGUAUUACUUAUGACAUUAGAAAUUGAAUUCCUUGUAUAAUGCAUUACAUAUUAGAAUAAGAAUGAGCAACCACAUGUCCCUAAUGUAUUUGAUCGAAUGAUUUUCAAGUAAUUUUAUUUAAUUAAUCACUCGAGUUCGAAUUUCAAGGGAGAUGUAAGUAAAAAAUUGAUUUGACCUUUGUCUCCCCCCCCCCCCCCCCCCCCCCAAAACUCUCUCUAUCUAUCUACACACACCCAUUGUUCAAAGGUGUACUUUUAAAGAAGUAAAAAAAAUAAAUGAAUAAGCAUUGGGCGAGAAUUUCGACUUUCUUGCCUAUAUACGUCCGCCGACAUAUAUGUUUACCAUCGAUCUUUAAUUCAAACCAUUAAUUCUAAUUAAAAAAAUAUACAUGUAGAUUCUAUUUUGUAUUGUGGUUGGGUAAUUGUAUUUUUAAAACUUUACAUUUAAAGAUAAAUUGAUUUAACCCACAUUUUUUUCCACAGCAACUAUGAUUUUUAAGUUGUAAUAUCUCAACAUCAAAUAAAACCUCAGUCUAAUAGUUACAAUCAAACUCAGAAUGCAGAUGAGAUAAAACUCUAGUACUUAGGGAAGAAAAUUAUUGAUCAUAGCUUUCUCUUUGUCUUUUUCUUUUUUCUUUUUUUAUUAGUCGAUCAUAGCUUAUAACUGGGAAGGAUUCCAGAAAAUUUAUAUCACAUUACCACAAUAUAAUUUCAUAUACAUAUACUAGCUAAUAUCACGUUUCAAACAAUUUUAUAUACAACCGUCUCGAAUUAUAUUGCCUAGAAACUAACAUGCGAAUCCCCAAUUUUACAAUUUUAUUACAAUUUUAUAUACAACCAUCUGAACUUUCAUUGGGUUUAGAGUUUUCAACUUAAAAGAAUUCAAGCCCAAAAUUCUAAAUGAAACCAGUUAUUGGACAACAUAUAUAUGUAGAGCUCAAAUAUCUAUGUCUCGCAAUUUUUUCUAUCUGAAAUCUCAUUACAUACAUUCAUUGUUUUUUUUUUUUGGUAGUCCAGGUCCCAUACUAAUCCUUUUCUUUCCAAUUGAACAACUGAUGACCAAAAAAAGGGGAAAAAAAAAAAGGCAGCGCUAGCAAAGACCAAGGGUAGUGUUCUAUGCUCUAGCCGCUAGCUAAUGCUAUAUAUCAUGAUCGCCUAUUUUCAAAGCUAGGUGAUAGACAAUGGUCAAGAAGAUCAUUGGCAGAUGUUGAGGAUCAACUUACCAAAUUUAACUCCGUGAUUCUCUCUCUCUAAUCAUAUAUUCAACUCUCCUUGUAUAGCAAUUGAAUUCCAUUCAUAUUCUUGAUUUCUUCCCUAGGGGUCUUAUAAGACUUAUAUCAACUAGUUUUGUUCCAAAGGUGCAGAAUCAAGCUAUCUUUUGAAGAUUCAUGUAGCGGAGAGAGUAAAUUGUUACCGUAACAAAUGCCUAAAUCUAUGUCUAUUGUUCUUGAUAAGUACACUCAAAAUUUUUAAAUCUCUUUUCUUUCUCUAGAAGAUAGCGAACUCCAGUGUAAAGCUUUUUUUUCUCAAAACAGCCAGCACGACAAAUUCCAAGUCAUGGAUCAAAAAAAUCCAUCUUCCUAUCAGAAUUUGCAGGGGGUUUAAAAUCUUAACUUGCUAAACGUGUUUGUAUGUCUCUUCAAUUCCUAUAAGAAGAUGUACUAGGAAAUGAACAUCUUUAAUUAGUAGUACAGCCAGCAUACUAAAGUCCAAAUUAUGACACAUUCUAGCUUUAGUUCUUGGCUAUAUUACAUAUCAUGAUUUACAUAAACAAAUCUUUAACUAGGAAAUAAUUUGCAGGCCUAUAUGUGCCUGUUAUUUUUGGCAUGUGUGAAUGUUUUUGAAGCAAAUAAGAUGUAAUCAAAAUGUCGAACUUCUCGUAAAAGCCCAUCUUUAAAUAUAUUACCAACAACACUAAGAACAAUAAAGUCAACACACAAAAUAUCCAAUUAAACGCCCACAUUGCAAUAACAAAUCCCCCUCUCUGCUAUACCAUAAUAUACCCUCGCCCCUUUUUUCCUAACCCCCCACCUCCCCAAAAAAAAAGAAAAAUGGAAAAAAAGAUUAGUAUCUGAAUUAUUAUCAUGUGAUCCUCGUCAAGGACUGCAACAUAUACCCAAACAAGUAAACUCCCCAAUCCCCCCCAACCUAAACAACAAAUACAUCAAAAAGAAACGACAUGUCAUACGUAUAUACAUUCACAAAAGUAAUUAAUCAAAGACAAACUUACUGAACUAGCUUGAAGGUUGCAGCACAGAGCGCCUAGCUAGCCUUCCUUCAAUCUUCAACACCGUAGACGAUCCAUGAUGCCUUGUGGAGAUGAGAUGAAGAGGAUCCGAGGUUCCUCUCAGCGCAAAUACUGAUUAUCAACCUUGUUAAUAAAACUAUUUGGCUGAAGUAAUUCUUAAUUUGCAGCUGACAUGAUCGCUCCGAUCCAAUAACUCCUCCCAUCUAUGCUUCACUUUUACAAUACCAUAUAUUUUUUUUUCUUUUUCAAUAAUCUAGUCCAAACAGAAGAAGUACUGACCAACAGAAUUUACCUAAUCAAUUAAGAUGCUAAGGAUACCAAGAUGACUAAUAAAGAGGGAGACAAAUAGAAAUUAAGGAAAUGAUGAUGAUUUUAGAUUAAAGAAGUGACAGAGGACCCAAUAUUUGAGGGAUCAUGCCAAGCACCGACAGAACUAGUUGAGUUCCAAUAUAAAGAAGGAUCAGCUAACCCUAUUUGCUCCAUCUGAUUCUGGCAUUCCACAUUCCAAUCCAUUCUUCUUUGACCCUCUUCCGCUUUCACUUCUUUCAUCAUCCCUGUCCUUGCUGCUUCACCAUUAUUAUUAUUAUUAUUAGCUGUCAUUUGCAGGUCUUCAAAGGAUGCUAAGUUGUUGUUGAAAUGGUUAGGAGCUUCAGUGGAGCUUUUUACAACACCAUUCAUGAACUUUGGCUGGUGAAGACUAGAAGCAAGCAAAGAAGCUAUAGUUGGAGAAGAUGAUGAGGAACCAAAUGUAGGGUAACUUGAAAGAAGAGAAUUUGAUGAGGUUACUACUUCUUGGAUUUGCUUAUUUGGGUUAAAACCAUUUCGGUAGUUACAAUCACCAACAUCAGUAUUAGACAUGAUUAGUCCUGAGGAAAACCCUAAACCAAGAGCAUUCAACUGAGGCUGCAGAUCAUAGCCAGAUAUAGUGUCUAAACUUGAAACAACUCUUGAAUUAAACGUAGAGAAUGGAAGGUUCAUAUCAGAUGGGUUUGUGGAUAGGCCAAAGAACAAAGGAUUGAUAUGAUUUGAGGUUGAAGAAAUAUCAAUCUGGCGUUGUGAAUGAGGGUUAUUAGGGUUUGCAGCAGCACUAGGAUUUGAUCCAUCAAUGGAAUUAUUGGCCGACGCGGGCCUCUUCACACGCUUGUUUUUCCUGCAUCCACCACCCACAGGAACAUUCCUCAGGGUACCGCCUCUUGUCCAGUAACGCUUACAGGCCUUGCAAAAAUGCCUGGGCUGAGAGAGGCUGUAGUUGUUGUAGUAACAGAACUUGGUGUUUGAUGAAUCACAGCGAGGGCACUUUAAAGGCGGUUGCUGCUGCUGUUGUGGUGGUUCUUGGCCUGCUUUAUCCAUGACCCUACCUGUUGAAGCCAUCAAGUUUUUCUCAUCUAUCUGAUGAUUCUGUAACAAAGAAGAAGAGGGGGAGAAAAAAAGGGAAGAAAAGAAAGAGAGAAAAAAAAAAGUCUAUGAGUUGUAGUAUUAGGGUAAAAAUAACAACACAACGUAAGAUAUUCUCAUCCAAAAGCUAAGAAACAAAAAUGGGGUCAUGUUUUGUCUAAUAAUUGAGAAAGAGAAGGAGAGAGAAAAGAAAUUAAAGAACCUGUGGCCAUUCGUUGGUAGUUGAAGAGAUGACAACCAUCUUCUCACAGUUACUCAACAUUUCUUCUCACAAAGGAAUCGUUGAAACAAAGAGUAAACAGACAAAGAGCAGGUGGCGACGUGAGUCUUUCUUUAUGGGGUUGAAAUAUUAUGACAGUGAGAGAGAGAGAAGAGAGUGAUUAGCAGCAUAACAAGGAAAAAAAUAUUAAAAUGAAAAAUUAUGGGAUUGUUUAUGUAAUUUCACGUGAUGGGGCCUGGCCAUGGUCUUGGUCUAAAUUCUAAAAUCGAAUUUGAGUAGGUAAUUGUUUAAUAGGGAAUAUAAAAACGAAAAGAAUAUAAAGGACAUACAUUCAAAAUCCAAGAAGAGGACAGAGAGGUAAAGCAGCAGCAUCAUAACAGAUGAAUCUCGAGAGGUUCAAGAAAAGAUAGAACAUAACAUGAGACUACACACUCUGCAGCACUACGUAACAUUCCUUUGUGUGUGUAUUUGAUAGAGGGAAUCCCUAGAGCUCAAUCAUCGAUGCCUCACCAGCAAAUCCCACUUUGCACUUUAUUUUAUUGUUAAUUCUAACUCGCCUAUCUUAUACAUUACCCACCACAAAAAUAUUGUUGUAUGGUGCUCCUCAUCAACAACCGUCAACAUUCAACAACGACAAAAUCUAUAUUUAAAAAAAAAAAAAACAGCAAAAUCCAACUUGAUCUUAUCUUUCAAUAUGCAUUUUAAUUGAUCCAGUCUCCUUCUGAUUUGCCCACUCUAAUCACUGGCUAAAUGGUAACAAAAGGAAUUUUUAUGUUCGAGUUUUUUCUAUUUGAUAUAUAUUUGUUUGUUAAUAUUAGAUAGAAUCGGUGGACACAAGUUUUCAUAUUCAAUAGACCUCAUAUAAAAUAUUAUAAUUGUAAGAAUUUAAACUAACAAUAGACUGUAUUAAUUAUUAAAAAAAUCUUGUUUAAUGUAACCUUAUUAUGUAUUACAUUCAUUGUUCUCAUUGAAGACAAUAAAUAUUGUGGUUUUAGCUCUUAUCUAUUGAUCAAUAAAAUAUUUUUUUCUCCACAGACCAUAGUAGAUGUUCAAACGUGUAAUUAAGAGAUAAUGCAGAUUCUCAUCCAAAAAAAAAAACAGAGAGAGAGAGAGAGAUAACACAGAUUAAUUUCAUCAUCAUAGUAUUACACAACUCUAAUUAAUCCACUUGAUCAACAUAAGGCUAUAUGAUUCAUCAAAGGGGUUGUUUUGACUUGUGAGGACUGAGGAACUGAAACCUGAGGACAUAUUUACUUUUGGUGAAGUUUAACAGUUAUACUACUGAGAAAUUGAAAAUUCCAAGAGCGAAAGGACAAGAGGGCUCCAUGUGGAAGUCUAGUUCACAUCGAUCUCGCACUCAAAACACAGCAAGCAACGACCACGCUAGCUUUAUUCGCCAGUACACUCUCUAGCUCGCAGUGGCAUGGAAACCAUGAGGCUGCAGGCUCUCAGCUCGCAGACCCAUGUGGUGGGCAGCUCAGCUCAUCAGCUCAUAGUGAAAAGAGUCCAACCAUUAAAAAAAUUAAAGGAAAAAAAAAAAAAGAAGCAAAAUUAAAGCACAAUUUGGGGAACAAACGGAUUUUGUAGUCUUUCAAGGGAUCUUCUCCUCUCCCUAACAUCCCAUCAUUAUUCCUGCGCAGUCUCUCCACUCCUUUAUUAAAACUUUGAUCUUUCCUUUUAGCUUAUAAUAAAAAUAGUUAUAUAUAUUGUCACGUUACCAUUCAGAAUGCCACACUAAAGUGCUUGCUGUCUGUAUAGGGGUUUGAAUGCAGUAGAUGUACGUUAGCAUGUUGGAGAGCUGAUAAAAUUUAGAUUUCUGAUCCAAUAAUUAAUUAAUUUAAAUUAUUUAUCACCCUUCUAAUUAAUAAAAUUAGGGCAUUUUUUGCUUUUGCAUGUUGGAAAUUAGCAAUUAUCAAUGUGAGUGUGUGCAGCAAUGUUAGGGCAUUAAGCAUUAGACAAGGUGUGACACGUGUCAAAUUUAACCCACCCAAAUGUUAUCCAAAACAGAACAUAAUCCUAAUAUUUUCUGUUAACAAAAUCUUGUGUGGAUUUGAAAUGUAAUAAUAUGCAAAUUGUCUUGACAUUGGGAAGGUAGGUAGUGGCUGUCUAUUUUAGGUUUAGCCGAUAGUAGAGUGCGUAGACAAUUGAGUCAUAUGUGUGGAACGUGGAAAAAUAAUUGAGACACACACAUACAUACACAAAGACAGUGGCUUUGCUGUGUGUGAAAUUGGGAUUAGUCAACUUUAUUAGAGGUGGUGGAGGAAGAAGAAAGACAAUUAUAUCUACAUAUAUAAACGGGUCCUACGCUCCCAACAUGUACACUCGAUCAUUCAUUCACCACUCCACGAAAAACUGACAAGAGAUUCCAAAAUGGCAAACAUGAAAGAAACCCAACACGCACGAUAAAGGGAAAUGAAAUGAAUUGAAGCAAUGAAGUGUGUUGUGUUGAUUUUGAAUUGAAGAGACGAGAUGAGAAAUAAAAAUAAAGAGAUCAGUUGGGGUCUCAUAUCAUCAGUCCUAAUGGGGACCAAAGCAUCAAAUCCAAGCCAACUGUCCAUGCCCACUAAAACUAAAGCCUGAUCUGAAUUCUGAUCUAUCACAUUGCCCCCCAAACAAUGAGCAGACAAACACAUCUCUCACUUUCUCCCAAUUGGUUUUGCUUUACUCUCUCUCUCUCUCUCUCUCUCUCUAUAUAUAUAUAUGUAUGUAUGUAUGUAUGUAUGUAUGUAGUGUUUCCUUAAUUUCCUUAUUUAACACUUCAUGAGCUACUUAUUUGAGCACCCCUUUUGUUCGUUGGGAAAUGACAUUUCUACCGACACAAUAAUGAUAAUUACCCUCACCAAAAUAAGGGCAAGCUAGAGAAUUUCUGCUCAAGAGAUCGAUCCAUUAGUUGAUUUGGAGAUGUAUCUUUCAUGUACUACUCCUGUGUACUUCCAUGUAAUUAAUGUUUGUUAUAAAUACUAAUGACUGUUGGCCAACUGGUCAAAUUCUGUAAUAGAACUUGAGGACUACAUGUUGUGUAGGAGUAAUAAAGAAGAAAUAAUUAAAAGUGCCCUAAUCGCGCCCUAACAAUGACAACCAUAAGCUAAUAAAAGUGCGAUUAUGUGGGAGUUUUCUUGUCUUCUUGUAUAACAAUAAGAUUUGAACAUAAUGCAGAUAAUUAUUCACAUAUAUGUUGGAAGAAUUUUGUCAAAACAAAACAAAACUAUUUUCUAACCGAUAAUAAGUUAAUAACCAUCAAUUCGGAAACCACUUUUAUUGCAGCAGGGUUAUUGACGUUUAUUAAUAAAAUAAAAUUGCUUGAAUAUUUUAGUCCAAAUUGAUAAGUGGUGGUUGUUGUUGAACAGUUGGCAUCAUCAUCAUCAACAUCAUAUAAAGUUGAUAAAUUAGUGAAUUGAUUCUCGGUUUAUCAUUCAAGAUCACAAAAAUGAUAAACUUGUUUAUAUAUAAAAAUACAGGCCGCAUAAUCAAUUAGUGGGGGAGAAUCAGUUGAUUCAUUGAAGAGAGUCAAACAUAGGACUUGAACUAUGGGUAGCAGGUACAAGCAUGGAAAAUUCCUGUGAAUUUACAAUUCCUUUAAUUAGAUACGUUUACAUUACAAACAAGCUUAAUUCGGACUGUUUCUUAUGGAAGUUUCAAAGUGCCGCCGGUACUGUGGGGUCCGGAGAAUGUUGUGGGGGGGACAAUUUUACUAUUCUUUAUUGAUUUGUCUUAACAAAUUUAUCUUUCCCCAGAAAAUAAAUAAAUAAAUAAGAGGGAGACAGAGAGAGAGAGAGAGAGAACCCAAUCAGAUCUUGGUAGAUUUGAAUUCUGUGACCUAAAAUUUUGUAGGAUAUGAUGUUGAGACUCUCCCACAGUGUCUAAUUGAUAAAAUUUUUUAUGCAAUAAUUUUAUUAUAAUUAAUACAUAAAGUAAUGGCAGUGACUACUGACUACUAGUGGGAAUAUGUAUAAACUAAUGGUGAAUAUUCAUUGCCUUUCCCUCCUGAUUAACUCUAAGAUGUGAAUUAAAAAUUCUAAAACGUCACAGUCAUCAUAAUUAUGUUAAUCUUUUGUGUUGAUUUGCUUACGUUAUCCAAAAAUUUCUUCGUUUGUAACCUUGUUGUUUUCCAUUGUCCAAAUUGUGGUUCAAUUGCAUGAUGACCAAAGUAUCAUUUUCAGUGGACUAAAUUCUAUUUGUAUGAGUGUGUGUGUGUAUAAAGCUUUGUCCAUUCCAUAGGUUCUGAUCAUUACCUUAAUUUUUUUUUUAAUACAAGCAGUCAAGCAAAAUCCCUUUUUUUGGAUCAUAAAUUGAGCCUCCGUCAAUCAUUCUAUCUCGCAAAUUCCAUUAUCGAGAUAUACUCCAAAAAGCAAAAACGUUCCUCGCUUUUGUGUAAAACACAGUGGGUUCGAUUCGAUGCUCCGUUAGGCCCAGUACUAUAUCAAUCUGGGAUUAAGAUUUUGGACCUUCCCCAGCCCAAGGAUUGGACCCCAACUGCCCUCACGCCCUGCUAUGCACCAUCCUGAGAAACUAUAAUUAUUGGUGCCCAAUAGCCAUUGUCGAAGAAGGUGCGGUGUGCAUACUGCAUGUCAAGUUUCUUUCACGGUGUUAUUAUUAUUAUUAUAAUUGUUGUUUAUUUUAAAUCUUGUCUUCUUUUAGCUUCAAUCAAACUCAAAGAUUUGGGCAAACAGUUCAUCACAAAAUAUCAGCAGCUACCACUAAAUCAGACGAAUAAUAUACAGAACAAAUCCUCACUUGGAAUGAAAAUAUCAAAGGAGGAAUCAUACAACUCAUCUAAUUAAAACGCAUUCGGUCCUGUAAGUACAUGAACUGACAUGUGCAGCUCAGAUGCUGCAUCACCAUGGUUAAUGGUUAUUGAAUUCAAUUCAAUUCAAUUUUCCCUCGUACAUCUGGGGACCAACUUUGGCUUAGCGCAUAUAUAUAUAUAUAUACAUACACACAGACACUUGCUAAAUGUGCUCAAAUAUUAAUUGCAUGUGGUCCUUUUUGUUAAUGGAAGAUGGAACGAGUAGUAAUGGGCUACGUCAAGCAUAUUAUAGGUUCCCCUCUUAGCUGUAAAACUGUUGGGCGCACCAAAAUGACUUGCGAAAAAUACACAGAGAAUUGAAAACGAAGCAGAGAGAAUAAGAUGCAAAGAAGAUCAUCAAAUUCUCGCGAGUACAUACGUGUUAUAAAGUGAUACGUUGGUUUGUCUCAGACAUAGAUGAUGGAACAAUAAAAGUUUUCCCCAUUCACCUUCCCAAUAAUACACCUAACAUCACAAGAAUUCGGCCCCCUGUUUCGUGAAAACGACUGUCAUUAAUAAUAAAGAGAGAGAGAGAUUUCAACAUGCAUGCAUCCGUGUAAAUUGUAAAUUUUCUCUAUCUCUAUCUUUUCAGAAAGGGAAAAAAAAUGAAAAAAAUUAUAAACACGUUAUAAUGUUUAAUAUAGACGAUCAUAUACGGGUCGGGCUACAGUGUAAUUGUGGUACCGUACCACAGUUGCACCAGGUAUUAGAUCCACUCAAAUGAGUGGGGUCCACUUAAAUGGGUGAAAAUUCAACGGUUUGGUACAACUAUGGCACGGUACUACAAUUGCACCACAAUUUUAUCCAUAAUAUACAUAUAUAUUGAUCUGGUUCAGAAUCUUUAACUUUAUUUUAUAUAUAGCCACUCGGCCUUUGGCCGAGUGGUGAGAGCUACUGCUCAAAUGCAUGUGGGGGUGUUUCCUUCCUCAAAUAAAAUUGAGUGAAGGCAGUCUGCUUCCUUGCCCCAGUGCAAAGAGUAGACAUCCCUCGAAUAUUUGAGAUGGUUAAAAUUUGGGCAGCGCUCCAUUAGAUUUGAUGUAUGUUGGUCCCAGUUAUAGUCUGAUUUGUACAUAUCAGUUAUAUUCUCGUGUAAUAUGAGUUGUAAUUUGAGCAAUAGUCUCAUGUAAUAAAAAAAAAAAAAAUUAUUUUAUAUAUAUGAGAGAGAGAGAUUUCCACAUGCAUGCAUCCGUGUAAAUUGUAAAUUUUCUCUAUCUCUAUCUGUUCAGAAAGGGAAAAAAAAUGAAAAAAAUUAUAAACACGUUAUAAUGUUUAAUAUAGACGAUCAUAUACAUAUAUAUUGAUUUGGUUCAGAAUCUUUAACUUUAUUAUAUAUAUAUAAAUAUAAAUAAUAUAGGUUAUUGUGGCCUUCAAUUCUCAAAUUGAAAGAAAUUAAUAUUUCGAUGCUUGGAUUGUCUCGAAUAGGAAUAGCUACCUAGUUACCCUAAAAAAUUGACCAUGUAACAGUCAAUUAUAUUGAUGCAAAAUGAAGAGAAAAUAAGUACCCCUUGAAUUGUACAUUAUAUCUCUAUAAUUGUGAGGUCGAAAUUGACGCGGAGAGGAAUCACAUAAAUGAAAUUUCCUUUAAUUCGAGAAAUUAACCAAUCAAGAUGUAAGAGUCAUUGGAGCUAAUUCUUAAUCUUGAUUGAUAUAAUAAUUGAAUUAAGAUACUAAGAAUUAAGCGAUUAACGGUUGAUGAUAGGGAAAUAAUAUUCAAGAAAUUAGGAAAAUGGAAGUUGUGGUCCAUCACCAUCACAUAUAUUCUUCACAUCAUCAACUUUUCAAGGGAUUUUAUUUCUUCAUCUCCUCUUCAAUUCUUGUGAUCAGCGCUAGCUCCAUCUCUGUUUCUUUGGUUACUUGUUUUCUCUUUAUAAACAGAAAAAAAAUGGAAGCAAGCAGAGCUGAAGGAAAGAGGAGCUUGAAGGAGGAUGAUCAAGAAGAAGAGGAAGAUGAUGAAGAUAGUGGUGGUGGUAUUGCUGGAGAGGAAGACAAGAUCAAGAAGAAAGGCAAGAGAGGAUCAAGCAGCGCCGGAGCUGGGGGUCCAACGACAUUUGUAUCUUGUCAGGUGGAGAAUUGUAGGGCUGAUAUGACGGAUGCCAAGAAAUACCAUAGGCGACAUAAGGUCUGUGACUUCCACGCCAAGGCUCCUGUUGUUCGUGUCGAGGGUCUUGCACAACGCUUUUGCCAGCAAUGUAGCAGGUCAGCUUACCCUAUCCCUAAUUCCUCCUCUAUAUUCAUAUUCAUAUAUUUUUUCAUCCGCGAUGUAUAGACCUUUCAUUUAGUAAUACACAGCACUAGUUAUAGAUUCUUUUAUAUUUAUUAUAUAUGUUCAUGUUAUGGCUCAAUUAGAUGCUAGCCUGCUAGGGACUCCGGCGUGCAUCAUAUAUAUCAACACACACACACACACACACACAAAAUAUAUAUAUAUCGAUGAGCAUGACAAGUCAAAACUUGAUGUGAUUUGGAAGCCAUAGAUAUAUUUUAAAUCAAUGCGAACAAAGAUAGGCAUCGAAAUGUGGAAGUGGAAACAAGAGUCCAUUUUCAUUUAUGGAUGUAUUUUAAGGUCGCUAUCAGCUGUUAUAAAAGGCAAAAGUAUUAAGGUUUGUUGACAACAUUCAUAUUACCAUAAUUGAAGAAACCCAUUUUCAAGUGAUGACUCCUUGUCGUGCUGGGCUUAUUUGUCCCUUUCCCGUGCCCUUCUACAUAAUUUAUAGGUUCCAUGAACUGUCGGAGUUCGAUGACACCAAAAGGAGUUGCCGUAGACGUUUGGCCGGGCACAACGAGCGCCGCCGGAAAAGCUCAGCUGACUAUCAUGGAGAAGGCUCAAACUGAGAGUACGUAAUAUUAAGGAUUAAUUAUGGAGGCAGGCGAAUAAAAAGAAAGAAGAAUCGUUUUUACCAAAUAACUUUCUCAUUAUAUGUAUGCCCCUUGCGUCGGCAAUUACCUAGCGUGCUCUCUCUCUUCUGUCAAUGCUCGAUCGACUGUAAUGUUAAGCGCCUGAUGGUGCUCCAAAUAAUCUCAAAUAAUUAAGAAUUAUUAUCUUAAUUAAUACUUAACAGCAGUAUGCUUAUGCAUUUAUUUUGCUUUGUUGUUACUGUUAGGACUGCGUAUAUUAGUACAAUUUAGAGUGAUAUUAUUAUAUAUCAUCCUUUUUUUUUUCUUCUCCUAAUCUUAUACAAUUAGAAAUAACAGAAGAAUGCAAAGAGUUCCAAAAGGACUCGAACCAUGUCUUUAAUGUGAAGUCAUAUGGGUUCACCACUCUGCUAGCCGAAUGGCUCUACCAGCUUCUUUCUUGGUUCAAAUUUCAUUUACAUGCAUUAAUUCAAUUCAGAAUUUUAUUUUGACAAUUAAAAUAAAUAUUUUUUUAUUUUAUUAGUUUUAUUUUUUUUAUCUCAAAAUUAUUGGCAAUAAUUUUAAUAUCUUUAAAUUUCUUAUCUUAUUUGUUAAUUGAAUAAGGAUAAUAUUAGAUUUUCACAAUGUAUAUAAGGAUAUAUAUGAAAUUAUAGUAAAUGUAAAACUAAUUCUUAAAAUUAAAUUUAAAAGGCUAAAAUUUAUUUAUAGGAUAAAGUGAGUUUUCAAAAAAAUUUAUCAAGUACCAAAAUUAACUUUUAAUUUUUUAAAUGCAAUCUGGAAUGAACCCUUAAUAAUUAAUUAAGUUACUAUAAUUAUAUUAUUUCACAAACGUUUAUGUUAUUAAGCCCCCCCCCCCCCCCCCAAAAAAAAAAGAGAGAAUGCUUAAUUGAAUUUUUUUUUAUCGCUAAAUGCUUAAGUUUCUUGCUGCGGUUGUUGAUAGCAAGGUUAUGACUUACAAUUAAACAGAAAAAUAAUUUCCUAUGACUCAUUAGUUGUUUGACAAGCAACAACUGAGUCAUAUAAAAAGAUUAAUUUGGAGUUCAAUUAUGUUGAGCAAUUUGUUGGUGAUUAUACCAGGUUUUGUCUGUCUGUUUUUAUAAAGGGAUAAAAAAAAAAAAGUGCGGUGCAGCUCAACUCGGCCGGCCAUUGAUAGGUGUAGCCUUGAAAGCAAAGGGACACUCAAAGUGAAAAUUUCUUAAGAUGAUGAUUACUGAACUGUACAAAUCCAGAUCAAUUGAUCAAAUAUAUAUGUAGGAAAGCUUGUUAGCAAAACUGUAAGCAGUAAAAUCUCCACAACAUAAACCAUCUUCAAUGGCAUAAACUUGUCAACAUAUGUGUUCAAAAAUUUCAAUCAGUUUUGAUCAUAGAUUCCAUAAAAUUGAUUCUAUGAUCAAGCUCAACAAUGUUGAACAGGACAUGAUUAGAAAACCAAACCAAUUCGGCAACCCUUCCUACAGUGCACUACAGGCUCAAGACAACAAUAGCGCUUUUUGUUAGACCAGGCCAGCUGCAAUAGAAUCGAAUUCGAAUAUUGUACAUAAGAGAGAUGCUCUUAUCUUUUACCCCAGGAAAAAAAAAAAAUCAAGCUAACCUCAGUGUCAGUCCACAUCAAGAGUUCCGGAACCAUAUUUUGCUGAAAUAGCCACUAAUGCAUGAAAUGGGAACAAGAAGUUAGUGAACCUUGUGUCUGGUACACCAUGCUAGCCAUGCUUUAUCCCUAGCAACUUUCCAGCUAGUUCCCAGGUAACAAUUGCAGUUGCAUUAGCAGGAAAUGCCCUCAUUAUAGUAGGACCCAAACCCGUAUAGCAUCCUUUCAGACCAGCUCGCCUGUAAAUCUAUAAAAGUGACUAUAUUAGCCCCCACUUGUUAACAACAUAUGUUUUGGAAAAAUUACAGGCCAUAUUCCCUUCCCUCUCCACUCUACCCACCCCUUCCAUUUCUUUUGCAUUAUCUCACAUAUAGAGAUCAUGUGGAUAAUUCAUGGAGAAUUUAAUCUGAAAAGGUCAAAUAAGAGGAACCAGCAUAUUAUACCGAGUUUAAAAUCUGAAAAGGAUUUGUAGAGGCGUUUUUAUCUGGAGCAGUCUGGAUAAUGGUUUUUGCAACAUCCAAAGGUAGAACAGCUGACCAGAACUAGGAAACAGAGAAGGUAAAAAAGGAUUAAUGUGAAUGAGAAACACAAAAGAAAAAAAUAGAAAUGCAAGGCUGUCAAAAUGCUUACAGCUACACCACCAAGACCACCACUCACGAUCCCAAUUCCCAUGUCAAUCAAGUUACUGUGAUCGGAUGAAGCAGCUUUCAGUUUCAAAUGCAUGUAAUAACGAACAUGCUCAUGGACACUGAAAAAGACCGCAUUUCCUAUAGCUUCUCUUAAAAAAGUCGUAGAUCCUCCACGAAAAAUGGCCAUGACCUGAAUGCUAAUCCAUCAGCUCAAGAUGAUACAUAUGUUUUAAGAUGCAGUAAGUCAAGGAUUUACUCACCCCUUCCUGUUUGACAGUUCUUAGGGCGCAAUCAAGAGGACUGGUGUAUCUAACAGACUUUGGGACCAAAGAGUCAGUGCCCUGGACUUGCAUUCUACACUGUGAAGCUCAGUGUCACAAGCAUAAUAUAGGUAACAACUGCUUAUAGGGGAAAAUAGAGUGCAAAAGGUAACUUUCUAAUUCACUAACCUUCACUAGCUCUGAUGGACAUAACACAAAACUGAUAAUAGAUCCACCAAAAGCUGCUGAAGGAAUUAUUACAUUGGGUUGUGGUCCACCACAUUGUACCCCUCCCUUAAUUUUGGAAAAAAAUAAAAGUUCAUAAGUGUUUGAUAGGUAGACGACGCGUUUAAGGAAAAGUAUCAACGGUAUUAUUGAUGGAAAUGAUUUGUGGUUAUCAUUUAGUGCCGAGUAGAAACAGCAAACAGAUAGUUCAAUUCAAUGUCUUACAAACCUGCAGUAGCUGUUUUGUUUGGGAAUAGAUACCAAAGAGAAGUGAACUCUCAAAAGCCAUCCCAAGGAAUGAUGGCGUUGCUCCUCUGUAGAGUCCUCUAACCUGUCAAAGUCAACGGCUGGUCAUCCUCCAGGCAAGAUCAAAGCGAAGAACUACGAGAUAGGGCAGGACAGGCAGAGGAGAAGCAACAGAUAAUUAAAAAGCAAUGUCAAUUUUAUCAAGAUGACUAAUACACUUGUGCGUCUAAGUAGUUUAUUUGUUAUGCACAUGUACAAAAAUCAAAUACGAAGGCCAGCCUUAUAUCUCAAACCAAAGGACGAAGAAGAAUGCUCUAAAAAGGCCAUCAUCACCAAGCAAACAAUAUAAUUGGGAAGCCAAGAACAGAAAGGGCAAGUAUUCGACUAGCAGUCUAAAAAAUGAAAUUUCGGUUUGCCUCUAAUUUCUAAAGCCCAACAACUUCACUUUGUGCCGAGGAAGCGAACAACGUGAACUGUUACAUAAUAAUCUAUCAGAAAUGCACAAUUUUGAUUAAAAGAAAAAAAAAAAAAAGUUAACAAAAAAGCAUACCCCUUCAGUUCUGAGUAUCCUUGCAGUGCAAUGCAAACCAUUCUUGUACCUAAUCCCAUGCACUUCAGUAUUGUGUUUCUGCAGCUUCACCUAAUAAAUUAAACAAACAUAUGAUAUACCCAUAAUAAUAAUAAUAAUAAUAAAUAAAUAAAUAAACAAUUCAAUUGUUAAGACAACAAGCCAACCCUUUUAGUUUUUAGUGUUUUACCUUGACGGUGUCGAAAGGAUGACCGACAAUGACGGUAGCAACACCGGCGAUUAAGCCUGCCACAUACUCUUUGUAACCGGAACCCCAACUCUCUUCCAUCUCUCUACUUUCCCUGAAAUUUAAAACCCUCUGCUUUGUCGUGUCCACGUCUCUCUCACUCUUUCCCUCCCAAUUUUGGACGGUUCAAGUUCAACGACCUUCAUUACUAAACAAUACUCGUGAGAUCGCUGACCGUGUUUGUGCGUGCGAUAUAUUUAUUUAUUUAUGUACUUAUUUUAUUUUUUUUAACUGCAGUAGACAGCCGCUUUUCCAAAUUAAUAACAUUUUUAUUUUAUUUUACUCUUCUUUACUUUAUAUAGUAUAAAUUUUUCUUAGUAAUUUUAUAUUGUAAAAAUAUUGAAUUUGGAACGUAUAUGAAAGUUUGUUUGGAAUUAGUUCCCGAGAUGAUAGAAGUAAAUUAAAUUUAAUGAUAUGAGGAAAGUAAUAUAAAUUAUAUAACCUGCUUUUGAGAUGAUCAAUUAAUUGGACCCAAAUAAUCUUUAAUAUAUAUAUAGAAAAAAAGAAGGAUUUAUUAUUUAUGAAUUGACCAAAGAAGGGAGGUGCUGGCGAAUCAUUCGAUAUUCUUGGCCGUUCUGCGAAUUGCGAUCAUGUUCAUAAAUCACUCUUCUAUUGUAUAACCAGAUGCAGGAAUACGGAACAAAUCAGUAAUUUUCAGCACAUAUAUGAUACAAUGUUGAUGUUACAAUUAUCUUCUACCAGGAUACAACUGCAAAGACACAAUACCACCAGGAAAGCUCUCUACCACGAACUGCUUCCGUUAUUCUAGCAAACAGCAAUCUGUGAAAUGGGAUCAGGCAGGUGCAGCUCACCGUUUCAUCGGGUUACGGAACAAAAUUUUAUUUGGAGCAAGACCGCUGCCCGGUGGUCAUAACUUGCUGCGAAAGAUUUCUCCAGAAACCCUUUCUGCAUUUCCAACUUGAGUUGAAUGUUUUAGAACCUCUCGUCUUUCAGCUAUAAAUUUAGCGAACCGGGAACCCUUCCCUUCAAUGUUAUCUUCCAACGCCGCCUGCGGCAGAUCGGGUAAACUAGGACCUUGCUUUGGAGAUAAUGGUGGCAUCAACGCCCAUACUGAUGCAAGGUGUUUGUUUGGUUCAUCAAGUUUACGAAGAAGAGAAACCUCCUGCAUAUCUGUUCAAGUCAAAAGGAUACUUCAGAGUUUGCAAAAAUCUCUCUACCUUCAGCAAAAAUAAUAUAAACCUCGGGAUGGAGUUGAUGUUACUCAAAAGACAGUUCUUGGUGCCUACUAUAUUUCAGGAUGUAAUUACUUAAUGAAAUGAUAAUUUGAGCUAGAUCAUCUCAUCAUGAAUGUAAGUGUCAAAGCAAUUCUUUAGAUUCCUAACCUCUUGCAAACUCGAAGAUGGGUCUCAAAACAGCACAUGGAAUGCUGAAGUUCAGAUGUGGAAUAACUGUCCCACCACCAUGCCUUGCAUUACUGGAUCAAGAAUACGUAUCAUUAAAUACAGUUCAAUCUGUAAGCACCGAAAAGCUUAAUCAACCAUCGAAACUAAUAUUUUCAAAAUUUCUCCUCAACAAUCACAAUUUGUAAUGUUCGAAGAACAUCACACCCACCCAACAUAGUCUAUGAAAUUAUGAUCGAUAUCACAGUUCCUCUGUCACAUAAAUAGCCUCAUGCCAAAUUCGUGGCCAAGUAGAACAGAUUUCAGUUUGAGAGAUCUAAGAGCUUCAAACAACUUUGUUUCUUAUCUCUCCACUAAAACUUCACAUAUAAUCACUAACCACGAAUCACAUAAAACCAUAGAACAAUAAAAAGGAGGCUUCCAGGCAUUUCAAUUCAUGGGAAAAACAAAAGGAUUUCCUAAUACAAAUCCAAACCAGAUGAUAUUUGUGAAGGAAAAAAGGAAGAAAAGAAAAGGAGAGGAUUCUUUUCCAAAACAUUCUCAAGUCUGGGGAAGGGCAAUCAAAGAGAUAGUCCCAAGAAAAGUUCAACUUUUUGCUUGGUUGUUGGCCCUUGGUAAACCUAAUACUGGUGACAUUAUUCAAAGGCGGAAUCCUAAUGUGCGUUUGUCUCCAUCUUCAUGUAUCAUGUGCAAGAGAAAUGGCAAAAGUGCAGAUCAUUUGUUUUUGUAUUGUCAAACUGCUGUCCAGCUGUGGCAUAGAUUGUCUCAGGCAGCUAAAAUCUCUUGGGUGAUGCCAGCUUCUAGUAUUUCAAUGCUUUCAGAGUUUAUUCAUGCUUUUGGGAGAGGUGAAAAAGCUAUACUGCUGUGGCAAUGUCCAGUUAUGGCCACUUUCUGAGUGAUUUGGCUUGAAAGAAUAGAAGGAUUUUUGAAGAUUCAGAGGAAGAUGUCAUCUUUUUGUGGGAAAGAGUGCGAUUAUUAGCUUCUCUUUGGACCAGUUACUAAGGAAUUUCCAUUCAUCUAAACUAGGAAGGGGUGUUGGCUUAAUUCUAUGUUUUUGGUUUUUGUUUUCGUUGCCCAACUUUCAUUAGUCUUUUAGGUUCUUUAUUUGUGGACUUCUUGUUCAUGUUUUGUAAGUAUUGCUCUCACUAAUACUAGUUUCUUUGUUUCCUAUCAAAAAAAUAAAAAAUAAAAAAUAAAAAAGAUAGUUGAGCCAACAACUUGGCAACUUGCUCAUUUUCAGACAACUUAAUUUGAAGUACCUUGUAACAAGUCCAAUCAUAUGACCAUCCAGAUUGACAACAGCACCACCACUACCACCCGGAUGGACAGCAGCCGUUGUCUCAAGCAUAACUGGAUAUGCUGAAUUCCUUUGAAGAGUGGAUUGACCAUAAGAUGGCAAAUUUGCUUUUACUACUUUUGCUACCACCCCAGAGCUAACAGAGGGGGAAAGGCCUGCAGAAUUUGAAAGCACAAGAAUCUCAAUUACAGUAAAGUGCAAAGCACAGCCAAAACUGAUAAAUGACGAAGUUAUUUACCACAUCUUGGACCAAAUAGCCCAUGUCCAAUGACGUAGGCAGCUGAUCCUAAAGACGGCUGACCAAAAUCAGCAUCAAUAGGGCAAAGCUGAUCUGGAAUAUACCCAAGCUGCAGAAGGGAAACAUCCAAAGGUCCCUUACAAACAUACACUAUUUUAGCAUCACACCAAAUCCAAGGAUCCAGGUGGUCUAGACGGACACGUAUUUUUCUGUGGCCUCUGGAAAAUGAACUCAACUUAUAUGCCCUAUGUUCAUCUACAGAAGAAUCCACAAUCUUUGGCAUCUUUGGCGGCAAAGUCUGACUCUUUUGGUACUGAUCAACUCCAGUAUGCCCAGAAGAUGCAGAAUCUUCAGGUUGAAAGGAAACUCCAUUUCUCCAACCACUUACAGUUGUUUUACCAAAUCUCCAAGGUUCUAACAGGUGAGCAUUUGUGAGUAUCAGGCCUCGAUCAUUGAGCAGAACACCAGAUGCCCAUACACCAUCGUCGAUUGUAAUAAGACAUACAGAAGCCAAUGCCUUCUGAAUUGGUAGUGGAGACCGGCAACGAGAAUCAACAUGCUCAUACUUAUAACAGCAGGCCCCAUUUAAGAUAUGGCUGUUAAAUAAUAAUGAGUUCCCUACAGCAUUCAAGUUUCCCUUGUUAAUAUGGAUCUCUUUUUCUGCAUUUUGGGGCUCCUUCAGCAGUAAGUCACUGCAAGCAGUUGCAAUGGCUUCCCACGGAAUCACCAGCUGUUACCCAAGGCUAUAGUUGUGUAUAAUGCAAAAACUAUGAGAUAGUUACAACAAUAAAUGAGAAACGGAUCUUUGCAAAUUACCUGAAUUUCAGCACCGCUCUUUUGCCUCAAUGGUCGGAUCAAGAUACCAACAAAAUGCGCGUGUUCACCAAAAACUGGACCACCUUCCAUUCCUAAAAAAAUAACCAGAACAUAAAAUCAAAAUUUACUGACAUCAAAAGAACCACAGAAAACAUAAUAGAGAAAUGUCUCACCAGGAAGACACCGAAUAUCAGCCAUCAGCAAUGAUCUGGUAGUUGACCUAGGAGGAUAGCAGUUGGCAACAGACCCCAUAGAGACACUGGUACAAGCCAGCACAUCAAUUUAAAUAUGCUAAUGACUCGUAUAAUUGGAAACGUAACUAAACAAUUAAGAUUUUCUCUUAAUCGAACAAACACGAAAACACAAGUGAAAUCUUUCUUUUACAGACUUUGCGAACCAUGGACUUCGUGAUAUUUUGAUGAUUUUGUCCUCUGCUUAAGCAAAAGUAAUUUAUUCAACUAAGGUAGGGGAUAAGAGGAUACACAAGGAAGAUAGAGAAAUGGGGAAAACCUUCAGUAAAUUUAAAUGUAUAAUCAAAUCCAAUAUUUCACAAAAAGUGUUUCACAAGGUGAACUAUGUCCUGAAACAAACAAGAAAUUCAAACAUAAAAGAAACUCACAGCAAAGAAACCCAACCUGUUAAAGAAGUGCAUGGGCGAGAGGACACCAAAAGGAGAACCCACGGCUAGAAGGAGAUCUCCCCUUUUAUUCAAGGGUGUUAGGGCAAUGUUUGGCAAAUCCUAAGACAUAAUAACACGGAAUGUUAACAUCUGGCUCAAGUUUGCAAACUAAAUUAUAUCAGCACAACAAUAUUACAGGAUUUCAUCUGUUAUUAUGAGUUAUCACCAAAAAGUACACUGCUUAGAAAAGCAAGAAUUGACAACUGAAAAGAAACUUCACUUUUAAAUAUGAGGAAACUCCAAGGAUAGCAACUCUUGAAGUCGACUUGCUCAUAAGACUUAGAUUGCUUGAUUCCUCCAUUGCAAAUGGCCUAUGGCUGUCCAUCAAAGAUAUUUUGUUGCUCUCAAUCUGAGGAGAUUAAUUUAAAAUCAGUGUCACGUAAUAUACAACAUAUAUUAACAUCAGAACAAGCUCCAUUGUUUUUUGGCAGCAUUACCCAAAAAAAGAAAAAAAUACUGCUUCAGAUAUGAUCUUCAAACAAUUUGUUCUUUAUUGACAAUAGGUAAGUAUAUCUUAAACUCUUUGAGUUAAUUUCACAAGGUACAAUUUCAAUUUUUUUUUUCCCAAAUCAAAUCAUUUUCCCAUGGCCACCAAGGAAGGAAAAUGAGUGAUAACUUGAAAAAGGAGAAAAAGAAGGGAAAAACUUUAACUGCUUGAUGAUUCAACACCCUAUGGAUAUUGGACCGACCCCUUGCUUGUCAAACUCCUUUGUGUAAUAGUUGUUCAUAUAACUAAAUCCUCUCAAAUUAAGCUGGGUCUCUGCAGCGCGAUUAUUUGCAGAUCACCACGCAUAAACUCUCAAACAUUUAAUUUUGGAUAUAAGCAACAAAAAACAAAAAGGGAAGAAAUUCGGACAUAAGCACCUCUUAACUUCUUAUUAAACCAAUUACCAAUCAAUGUUUAAAAUUCAAAAAAGAAAAAUAGAAGAGCGUGGUUACACCCAGAAUACCCAAAAUAAUAUAAGAAGAGCAUUUGAUGAGUGAAAUAAAAAAAAACCUUAAGUAAUACUAACCGAAGUCUUAACAACACCCAUUAAAGGCUGGGAACUGUUAUUAUAUGGGGCCAGGGACCACCCGACCUCCCAUUCAUGCUCCGGUAAGCCUGAUGAAGCUUCCAUAAGUGAUUGGAGAGCAAGUGAAGAUACAGGGAUGUCAACCUUCAGGAAUUAACAUAUCGUCAAGAGCAGUUCUUUAAGAAAUAGUAAUAAACUCUCAAGACAACUCAACUUACUAUGUCCAGUACCAUUGGUGGAAAGCAUUAUAUGCAACUUGGAUACAGUUGAAAUUUCCAACUUCAAUGCAGUUGAAAUUGAAGUAUUGUAAUAUGAGCAACUUAUUGUAACAUGUGUUACCAAAAUUAACACGAUAAUCAAUCAAACAUGCUAACAUGCUAAUACUAGCUUAUAAGGCUCUUUAGCAUCCAUUUAACAAACAUUAAGUACCCACCAACAUCAUAAGUUGUGCUGUAACCCAUUCAGGGGAUCCUUUAUCCACAUCCUCAUGUUCUUUCUCUGACCUCAACUUGCCCUAUAAAUUAAAACACACGAACACAUUCCGUCAAAAUCCUACAAAAAUUCACUUCCAGAAAACUACCAUUUCAACCAAAUAAACAACUCCAUGUCAUCUUAUACCUCUACCAAGAAAUCAAUCUGAGAACCAGAAAUCAACUCAGGCUGGCCCUGCAGAAAAUAACAAAAACCAAAAAUGUUCCAAUUACUCUAAAGACCAAACCUCAGAUCAAAGUGAAAAACAACCACAAAGCUGUAGCUUCUACCUCGCUAGUAUCCUUGUCUCGGUAUUGAGGUAACAAAAAGGGCUCAACAACAGAAGCAACAGUCACAAUUAAACCAUUAACGCCCCAAUUACGCUCAGCAACCUUAGUAUCAAAAAAGCUAAGAGGCAGUAACAUCCCAGAAGCUGAAAGCGUCGUCUUGCCAGAACUAAACUUACCCAGAAACAGAAAAUUCGAUAAAUAAAUAAAAUAAAUUGGAAUAAUGAAAUAAAAUGCAACUCUGUUCGUGCUAAUGAAACCGAAGAAACAAGCUGACUGACUUGUAUUGAUGGAAAGCGUGUCUUCUCAUCUUAAGCCCUUUCGGGUCCUAAAAAUUUAAGAAAAUGUAAAUAAAUAAAUUUUGAAAAAAAGACAACUACAAUUCAGGCACCACAGAAGAUGAAACGACAGAAACAUGUGAACUAACUAAUAAGAGCGACUUACAGGGCCUUGAACUCUGACCAAGACGCCGAAAUUCCGCGAAAAUUCGGCCAUUUCUGGCAAGCCCAUAUGGAACUAUUUGUUCGAUCGCCUUAUGAAGUUGGAUUGAAAUGAAAUUUAUUGCUACAGAGUAAGAACAAGCUAGCUUUCAAAACGAAAAUGUUUUCAAGGCUUGCGAGCUGCGAGGCGGCCCGAUGAAAACGACGUCGUUGCAUAUCGUUUAAUUCGGUUUAGUCGCGGUACUUUUUUUUUUAUUUUUGAAUAAUGAUCCUAUAAUGAUUUGGGCUUAUUUUGCCAACAUCCCAAUGUUUUGAUCUCAAAUUAAGUGAGUUUAUUAAAAAACUUAAUUAAAUCUUAAACAUACUUUUUAAUAAUUAGAUUACGUAUUGUCUGGAAAUUAUUUUGAGUUUAUUAAAAAACUUAAUUACAUCAUAAAUUAGGAUUUAAAGAUGGGAGGAUUCAUAAUUUGCGGAUGAAAAGACAUUUUAAUUUAGGUAACUACUUAUAUAAGUGUUUGACUGAAUUUCUAUUAAAAACAAUAAAUGAAAUAACCUGUUUUUUUUUUUAACUAAUUGGGUAAUUUCAAUUAAAAAAAUAAUUUUAUAGAAAAUUUAUAGAGAUGUCAAAAUUAAAGACCUACUCUUCUUAAUAUUGUAUUUCAUUUGUUUUGUCAGUAGUAAUCAUUAUUUAAGAGUAAUGUUUUUCAUAACCAUUUAAUAUCCUUAUAAAACGCUAGUUUCAUAUUAAAUAAAUAGUUCAAUUGCGGGAGAAUAUUACAUAAAAGAAAAGAUAUAAAUCUAAUUAAAUUAAAAGAACAGAUAUAAACCUUAUGAGUAUAUUUAAAUUCUAACCCAUGAUAUAUUUUUUUAUUUUUUUAUAAACUCAAUCCUAAUUUCAACAUCCAACAAUGACAAUUUCCCCAUUAAUUCUCCACAUAUGAGGUAACUGGCAAUGCAGAUUAAUCUUGUUAUUAUUAGCAUUCUAUGAUUUCAUUCUCCUCCUCACAAACUUGAGCACAGGCUAAUAGAAAUUUCACGAGAAAUUAACCAGCAAUGAAAAGUAGCUCAUGUAAUUACUCCAUAAAAUCUCAUCAAUAAAUUCCGAAACAAAAUCAAGAAACUUGAUACAUUGCUACAAGAAGCAAGAAAUUCAAAAGUAAAUAAAGCAAAAAUCUAUUCAAUCGUUCGAAGUUCCGUUACUCAAUGCAAUCUUAGAAUAAGAAAAUAGUUAUUGUUACGUACCACUAUUUAUAUGCACGUAAAAAUUAAAUAUAAAGAUUAAUAUUAUGUAUAUUGAGAGAGAUCUGACCUCAUUCUGAUUUAACUUUUCAAAAUGUUUUCGAUGUAUCGGUAUGAGAUGUUUUGCAAAUAAAAAUUACAAGAGAACGAACAAGUCAUGAAUUCGUAACCACGAAGUUCCGUAACGAUGGAGGGGAUCAUAAACAUAAUAUUAACUAAUUUAUAAUAUUGAGCAAAGAAUUUGACUGAGAGUUAAAUUGAAUAUAAAAUUACUGCUAAACUAACGAAUAAAUUCAAAGAGUCGCGUUAAGUGGGGUAACAUUAUCUAACUGAUAAGGAUUUUUAACACAUUUCACAUAUGUGCAAGUAGCUGGAUAAGUUCUAAUCACAUAUGUAUCACUCUUAUUAAGUAAAGCGUACAAUUUGAAUUCUAUGUCCAAUGCCUAAUUUGGAUCUCCAUAAUGAUCCCUCCGUUAUAUGUAGUUUUUCUUAGUUCUUAACGAUUUGUUAGAUUUUUUAUUACAAUAUUGUUGGAUUCUUAAUUUAACGUUGAGUUUAUAUGUGAAUAAUUAUGCGUUGUUAACUGUUAUAUAAGGUUAAGCCCAAUUAAAAGUGAUCUACUAAGAUUUUCGGUAAGAUGACCUUUAAUGUAUUUAAUAGGGUGUGAACCUUUAAUGUGUAGAUAUUUAAGGAUAAUUUCUAUUUUUGUGAUGAGCUGAAAUAGAAAUACAUAAAGACAAUAAGAAAAAUUGUCUAUAUAAGUGAUCAUGGUCCUUAUGACACACGUAUUUUUCUAUUUUUUUUGACAUCUCAUAAUGAGAGAGAGAGAGAGAGAGCACAUAGAAAAUUAAAAGAUUUUUUAGGAAAAUGUGUUUAUAUGAAAGGCAAAUCACAACUCUAAAAAGUAAUUCAGCGUUAUGAAUUCAGGUACGCUUCCACGUAAUUUGUUAUUGAUUCUUAAUAAUACGACAUGAAUGUUCUUAAAUUAUAGGUGAUGGUUUUUAACCAAAUAAUUUAUUGUUCUAACAUAAUCGACUCAGAAAUUAAUCCUUUUACGGUAUGAGAAUGAUAAAUUUUUAUGCACCCCUUCAUAGAAAUUGACCUUCACAUUUUAUCUCUAUUUUUCCCCACUAUCUAAUGUUCCCUGGAUUGUCGUUAUUAGUUUAACCCCCCGCAUUCUAUUUACUUUAGGACACAGCUGAAUUUAUGCCAUUGCCUUUUGCUGCCUCGCACAAACCACUGGUUUAUCAAAACUAGUAAACUACUGAUGAUUUAGUAGAUAUCCUUACUCACAUUCACAGGAAUAGGCAAAGACGAUAACUGGCAACCGAGUUAAUUUCCCAUUUAAAACAAUAGCCGCUGAAUUUUAAUACUUAAAAUCUAACGACUGCUUUGUAUAUGGAUAAAAAUUUGGGUAUCAGUAGCCAGACCCAUAAAAUAUACUAUUUAGAUAGAUUUUAUUCAUUACACUUUUUUAUUGUGGAUCACCUUAUAAGUUCCCAGCAAAUUGCAUACAUUGAAAAAAAAAUUCUAACUUUCAUGUGGAUGCCAAUUAAUUUGGUUGGUAAAAUGUGCUAGUAGAUAGAAGACGACUAAAAUUAAUUAAAUGAGAAAAUCAUUCAAGACAUGCAAAACAGUUAAAGUUAAUUUGGUUUAACUAACUACAAAAGGGAACAAUAAUUUUUUCCCAAAAAAAAAAAACACUAAUUGUUUUAAUUGAAUAUUCGUUAGGAUCCGGCUAGGAACCAUUAAGUUAUUGCUCUUAUUGGGUCAAGGUCAAAUCUGAUUUAAACAAACAAAAUUUAUAUUUAGGAAAAAAAUUAGGUGAUUUUUAGGUUUAGAUGUAUUUUUUUGCUAUUCGGGGCAAGAGGUAUAGCUAUAGUGGUCUAGGAAACGAGCUUAGGUGAUUUAGGGAGAUGAGCUUAUGUGUUUUGAGUCUAGAAUAAUAUAAAGAGCUUCAUGGAUUUAAUUUAAAGAGUUGUCAUAAGGAGCUUAAGAUAGCUCAACAAAUGGAAAAUAGCUCUAUAGAGCUUAUUUGGGGACCUCAGUGGAACUCAUAGAAUAACUUAGCUGAGCUUAUAUAUGAAAUGCGAUAUAAGCAUCAAAAUCAGAAAUAAGUAUAAAUAAUAAAGAACAUAUAAGAUUUAUGUAAUUUGACCUUUUGGCCUACGUUUAUAGGAGUAAUAAUCUCCAAUCCACCAUAUAUGUGAAGUAUUACAUAAUUUACUUCAUAAUAUCAACAAAACCUUAUUCUAGGUUGUUUAUGAUGAGUAAUAACAUGAAAAAGAUAUGGGUUUGUGAAAAUUAGAGAGUUUUCUAAAAAAAAGAAUAAAGAAGAAGCUUUUUUUUAGAAAUGAGAUAGCCAAAAUUUUCUAUGUAGGUAAAAGGAGAUGAAGUAACCUCUUAAGAGAUCAGAUCCAAAAAAAAAGGUUUCAAAGAGUUGAAUAAAGCAAAAAAAGAGAGAUAGCUUCUUCAAAAUUAAAUAUAUGAAGCUUAUAUACGUGUUCUUAAGGGUAUUUUGUUAAUUAUAGACACUAGCAAAUUUUCAUUUUUUUUAUCUUCACAAGUAAGUUUAUUUUAAUAUUUUCACCUUUUGUCCUUAUCAUGACAUCUAUGAACUUUGAAGGUAAGAAAAUCUUUAACUUACUUUUAGCCUCCAUAACUGAGCAUGUGACAGUCUCGUAGUGUUAUGGUCUUGUUACUUUUUAAGAGAUAGUAAAAGACAGCUGACGCGAGCUUCUCUUAUUGUUUUGUUUAAAGAAUUUUUAUUCCUAUUGGCUCUUUAUUCAUGGCAAAAAGAAGAUAUUUUGUUUUUUUUUUUCUAAUGACUCGAACUACUAAAACAUAGGUUUUAAUUAUAUCCCAUGAUAUUAGGCAUAUUUAUCAAAAUUGUCUUUUUUAUUUUAAUAGAAUUUAUCUUCUAACCUUUGAGAACUAUAUUUCAUUCGAUCAAAUGAACUGACUUCACCUAGUUGGUUUUCUUAGCCACGUGUGAUCAGGUUAUUAGUCCAUAUUCAACAACCAUUAACGUAAACUUGAAAGACAAAUACAAAAACUUAGCCAUCGAAUUGGCAUGAGCGUAUACAGUAAUUAUACCUUAAAAGAAAAUUAAAAAGAAAAACAAAUAGUAAAGCAAGAUAUUAAAGAAAAACAAAUAGUAAAGCACGGGGCUACACAUCCGCCUCUCUCUUCUCUCUCAAUUUCUAACACUGAAAAAAAAAAAAGAAAAAAAAAAAAGAAAGAAAUAAAGGUCAAGCAAGAGCAAGAUAUUCACCACCUUCAUUGAUCUCUCUUGCCAACCCAAAGAUCGCUUAUUAUUUUCUCUGUGUCGUUGAAUAAGAAACAAGAAAGUGGAAGCAAUGCCAGCACAGAAGCGCUCUUAUGAGAACGCCACCACUAAUAAUAAUAAUAAUAAUCACAUUAUUAUUACCCCGUCAGAGGUCGUUGAGGCUGUUCUCGAUGAUGAUGGUGAUGAUACUCUGCAACGCGACCACAGUAACAACCUUGAAGAGCAGCAGCCUCCUCAGGAUUCUACUCCUGCUGCUGCUGCUGACGUGGACGGUAACGGUACGCACUGCUUGAUUAUUUAUUUGUGAACUGCGUGUGCAUUUCGUUUUGGGUUUUGAUUGCUUGUUUUUUGUUUUUUUUUUUUCAUUUUUUGCAGAAUCUGAUCGAAGCCGUUCGUCCGGUGACGGAGAGAAAGACGAGUAUGUUUGUUAUAGUGUGUUGUUUGGUUAAUUAUUUUCCUCAUAUUGCAGGUGUUUGACUCUGCGAUUUGCAUGCCUUGUUUUGUCUUGUGUUUCGUGUUACUAUCUGUUUCUUGCUUUUACAGCCACGUUCAAGAAAUGGUCUUGUCAGUUCGGCAUUUCUUUCGUUGCAAAAUGUGUCCGUGUGCCCUCCCGUUCACAGAGUUUAGUCUUUAGCUUGUGCCUGUGCUUUCGUUUAGAGUUAAUUAUGGUUACAGUUGUUACUUAAAAUGGGAAUUAUGUGGUUAAAUUUGCAUGGGUUGAUCACUGGGUUGCCUAUGAUGUCCGGGAUUCGGGGGUUUUCCUUUUGUUUUUGAAGUUCUUGUGGAUCAAUUUAAGCACAGUUAUGGAUGGAGGAGGUGGUUUACAGAGUAGCUCAAUCAGGGUCACAUAAUUAUUAUAUCAUGAUAUCUGUCCAAUGACAGGCCAGUUGAUCUGCUUGCAUGUUUUAAGAUGUAAUUUUCCCAGUGUUUUAUUGUUUUCCCAGAGUUGUUCAACGCAACUAAGAUGCAAUAUCGUAUUAGCAUUUUCCCUCUCUGCAUGUGAGGUGUUGGCUGGAAACUGGAUUUGAAAGUCAAUUGAUAUUCUCAUGCAGUAAUUGAGAUGGUUUUGUAGAGUUAGUUGCCAUCGACAUUCCAGUGCCUCUUGCAUUCACACUCCACUUACAUUUUAGUAAACAUAGGGUGAAUAACAAGCAUAAGUCUAAAAUUAUUCCUUGCCCAUCAUUUCCUUCUGUGGAGAAAUAUCUGCUAAAUGUUAAACGGUGGUGCUAGUCAGGCGAAUGUGGAUAGACGAUCAGUUUAUUGGAAUAUCUUCAUUAAUUAAUUUCCUUGAAAUUGAUGCAUAUUUUAUGUUAUAUUAUAGUUUUUUGUCUGGAUGCUUGCAAUAGAAUAGAUGAUUUGAAAAAUUCUGACUUCAGAUAUCUCUUGGUAUUUUAACACACGUGGUCAUAGUUGUAUUAUACCGUCAUUUUGGGCUGCAAUGUGCUUUUCUUUCCCUUGCAUAUGCGUGUGACAGACCAGUGCUUGUUAGAAUAGGUCCAAUUACACCUUUUGCUAAAGUAAGGGGUUUGCUGGAAGCUCCAAAUAUUGAAUAUCAAAUGACUACUGUAGUUCGAUCAUCAGGAUAAUGGGCUUGUCAAGUUCCUUGUUUAAACACCACAAUUAACUAUUAUUUCCAUGUUGUUAUCCAUAAGAAUGUUCAAUAAAUUGCUUCAUGAUGUAUGUUUCCAGAUAGAACUCUUGUGUAUUUGACAGACUUUGUCGAACACCUUUCUUAUGUUUGCUUUGGGAGGUUUAUACCUUUAAGAGCAUAGUACUCUCACAUUAGAUAAGGUUAUGCACAAAAUAGAAUUAGCAGCAGCCAGGUUUCAUUGUCUAAAAAUUUCAAUGUAACAAAACCAUAUUCUUGCUAUGUCCUAGAGUCUCAUAUUAACGAUUGGUGUUGUGACAUAACAUUUUUGUAUUGGUAAAUGUUUGCAGGUUUGUUAUAGUAAAAUUGUCUGAUAUACGCAAGGAAGUACAGUGUCCAAUCUGUUUGGGUAAGAUUUUGGAAUACUUUGUUACACAUGUUUACUUCUACAUUCCAAUAGAUUAUAUCUGACUAUUUGAGCAAGCAUCAUAGUCUGCAUAUAUUAUAUGAGAACAUUGACAAAUACUGUCCUAUGCAUCAUUUUGGGUAAGCAAGCUUUUCGUACAGUGUUAUACAUUACCAAGGAAUGUUGUUCAAUAGUUCCAGAAUGCAACAUAAUUAAUCGAUAAACCUACAAAUUUCUAUCUUAGUGUUGAGUUGAAUUUUCUGUAAUGUUGUGUUGCGAUGUUUUCGUCCUUUUUGUUGCAUACAAGUUGACAGAAACAUCUUUCUACAGUGGCACAGCCCUUAAGCUGAGGCAUAUAAUGUGAAUCUGCUGAAUUUGCUGGCUUAUAUGAAACCUAUAUAUUUAUAUGUUUCAACCAUUUGAGCAAUUUAUAAGGUGUAAGCAUCAACUGCCAGAUAUGUGUUUUGGGAAGCAUUGCCAUUUUAUUGAGAAACCCUUAAAUAUAAACUUCAACUUCAACUUGCUGGCUGUAUAGCUCUAUGUUCACAGCUUGUUACAGGAGAGAUGUUAUUUUCCAGCAAGUGAAGGAAAAAACUCAUAUAUCUUCCAUUUUGAUUAAUUUUUUUCCCCUCAAAAGAAUAAAAUUGGAAUUAAUCUUACUUCAAUAGUUUGUUGGUUAUUUUGAAGCACGAGGUUGGCGAGAUGCUCUAAUGCAACUCCAAGAUUUUAACUUAUAUGGGUGCUGAUUACUGUUAUAAAUUACAUGACAUCUUCUGCUUUUUGUUGAUGCUUGACUUUUGCAGAAUUAUUAUUGGUUUUCCAUUUUGUUUCUACAGGGAUCAUUCGCAAAACAAGAACAGUGAUGGAAUGCCUGCAUCGCUUCUGCAGGGAAUGCAUCGACAAAGCUAUGAGGCUGGGGUAUGUUUAAAGUAUCUCUUUUCUUUUUAUUUACUUGUAGCAUCAUUGGAUUCAAAUUUCCUAGUUUGAUAUUGGAAUGGAUGAUCUGACUAAAUUCACUUCAAAAAAAUCUGACAUGUAAGUUAAGAAUGUCUUUCUUGAAAAUUUAAAUGACAAUUCACUGCAGGAACAAUGAGUGUCCCGCCUGCCGCACACAUUGUGCUAGUCGCCGCUCUUUGAGAGAUGAUCUAAACUAUGAUGCCCUGAUUGCAGCUUUAUAUCCAGAUAUUGACAAAUAUGAGGAAGAGGUAUCAUUUAGCUUAUUUAGUGCUUCUCAAUUUAGAAUCUGAUCUCUUUUUUAAUUGAAAUUCAAGCAUUCAUGUUUUCACCUGAUUUAGGAAUUGGCUUUCCAAGAUGAGGAGGCAGCUCGCAACAAGCAGGUGAUACACUACAAGUUUGCUUAUGAGUUUCCCUACAAAUCUCCAAUCCUGUUUUUCCUUUCCCUUUUAGCUCAGUGAAGAAUGGAUUUUAUCUGUUUGUUGAAUUUGUAAGCUCACCUUUUAACUUUCUUAGCUCCUAUCUCGUGUGCUAUGUUAUACAAUAGAGUAGCUGUGCUUUCUCUAAAGAAAGCAAAACAGGCUAAAUGGUGAAAUAAUCUGUUUGUUUCUGUGAGUUGUUGGCACCACCAUUAACUUUUAAACUUUCAUAACAGUAAAACCUUGAGUUUGAAUAAUGCAUGCCUUCAUUUUUGUAUGCAUACCCUUAGCCUAUCUAAGUCUAUUACUUUUGCAUAUGGCUUUGGAUGAAAAAUAUAAUGUCUUGUAAGUGAUCAAAAUUGUCCAUUUUGGAUUAUUCAAACAGAUCCAAGCUUCCAUUGCGCAAACUUUCCAGCGACAAACAGAAGCUCUGGGCAGAAAACGGACACCUAAAAGCACAUCAGCAUUGCGAAGAUCACAUGGUCGCUAUCGGGAUACUCCUUUGAGGGGGAGAAGAAACUAUCGAAUGACUGAACUUCAGGGGUCUGAUGAGAAUGAUGAUGCAAAUGGGGAUGCUGGCAAAGAUUCAUCUUCUGCUGAUGAAAGGUCGACGGAAGUCCGACCAAAAAGACGAAAAAGAUGGUAUGGAGCUCGGUUUUCUCAGUCUUCUUCAGCAGCUGCUGGUACUGAUGGAGGUGGUGAUGAAAAUGACUCUGAGGUACAUAGAGAAUCCAUGGGUGCAUCUGUUGGGCUGAUUGGUCCUUCGGAACGGCUUGCCUGGGGCAAAGGUGGUAUUCGAUCUCAUACACGACACGGCAGUGUGAGUGGUAGCAAUGGUAAGAAUGCCCGAAAUAACCGCCUCUCUAAGUUGGUUGAUUAUCUCCAAAGUUUGGAGGAAAAGGAUGACCAGGUAAGGUUGCUUUUUUUUUUUGGUUUAUGAUACUGUUGCUACUCUUGUGAUAAAAAAUCAUGAUUUUCAUAUGUGGCUUCCAAAAUUAUCUGAACUGAAUCCAAAACUUCUUUUUUCUUUUUUUUUUUCUCAAUGCAAAUAUAGUUCACAGCUUCUUUAUGAGCACCAAAUUCAUGAGAUCAUCAUUCGUCAUUGUUUCUUAGAAUCUUAGUUCUUUGGCUUCCUUCACUCUUCACCAACGUGAUUGGGUCAAUGAUCACUCCUCUUUAUUUCAGUUGGAUAUGCACCUCGUGCUUGUUUCUUUGGAUGAACAAAGAAUCCCAGGUUUGCAGCAGCCAUACCUGUGCUGCAGGCCUACACUGUCUGUUAGGCACUUAUGCCAGGUGACUCUUGUUUCAUCCCAAGUCCUUUUUAUUGUUAGAUAACGUCUAGUUACAAUUAGAUUUAUUCGGUUUUCAUCGCUGAAAUUGGUUUUUCUUUGCCUGGUUUCUGCAGUAUGUUGCUCACCAGACUGCACUGCAAGCCAGUGAAAUUGAAAUAUACUUGGUUAAAGAGUUGCAUUCCAAAAUCAACCUCCCAUCCUCUUCUAACUCUCUGAUGAUAGAUCCUUGCAAAGAUAAGCUGCAAGUUUUAAAUGAACAAGAAACUUUGACAGGACUUCAAACUCAAAAUUUGGGACAUGGCUUCCUGGUGAGAUAUAUUUUCCUAAUACCAACAUCAAUAGGUAGAUUCAUGCACACACUUCAAUUAACAACAAAGCAUGGCAAGCAACAUAGUUUUUUAAUUCAUUCUUGCUCAUUGAUUCAUACUUUGAAUAUCUGACUAAUUUUUUUAAUCAUGUUAUUCAUAUUUGCAGCUUUUGGCAUAUCAGAAAAUUUUGUUGAACUGAGAUGAAUGAUGAAAUAUUACUGCUUGCUUAAACAAGUUGUUUCGUCAUAUAUUUAUAGAGUGAUAGUGUAUACAAUCAUACUCAAAUAGGGAUCACAGGUAGGUUUCAAUUCUUAGAGCUUCCAUGCUCUACGACACAUUGUUCGGUAUAGUUCUAGGAUGGAGAAUCAGCAGUUUAGAAUUAGGAAAAUAGUGGCCAUUCCAGUGACUUCUUGUAGCUGGAUGUGAACAGACCAAUUGUUUCUAACAAUGUGAUUAUAAUUGUUGCACCAUACAAUAUGCACUUUAAAUUCAUCAGUGGUUUUCCUGAUGGCACAAAGUAAAGCUCUGUUCUUAUUUCUUAAUUCUGAUCAAUUGAAAGCAGUCUUUCCUCUACUUGUUGGUAUUGGAUAAGGAUUUGGAUCCAUGGUAGCUGAGUUCUUGCUGACAUUCUGGAAAUUUAGUGUCACCUGGCUUCUAUAAUAUUUAACACUUUGAGAUUUGUUCUCUUUUUCCUAAUGCAUUUGUUUAAAAGACCUUUUAUUAAGUAAUUUUUUUAAUUCAUUUAAUUUCAAAAAACUUGGCUAUAAAAUCUCGAUCUCCUCCAACUGUGUGCUCUUUUUAUUCUCUCUUUCUUUCUCUCUCUUUUUUUUUUUUUUUUUUUUCAUCAAACUUCUUCACCACCUGUUCGACUAUAAAAAGGCGCGGCGGAUUCUACGCAUAACUGUUUUCAUAGUCUUUGUUGGACACCUAUAGCACUGGGAGAAAGGGAUCGGACUGUUUGCUUUUGCCCUUAUUGUUCCGAAAUUUUGAACUUUUUUGUCACUGCUGACUCUCUUAUGUGAUUGUUUACGUAAAAACUUUAAACAGUCAAUUAAAAGAAUAUUUCAAGAAUCAAGGUAUACAUUGAUGCAAUAAUUUGAUUGGACCAGGUCAAGACAUACAGGAUAGCUUGGAAUGACCCCCCAUUCAUUAUCGCCUUUAAUAUGGUACCAACAAUCGCCCUCUAUUAUUUUUACAUUACGCGGCCACUUUAGAACAUGGCUGGUGACAAUUAUUAUCUCUUUUAUCAUUCCUAAGGUGUUUGUCUUCUAAUCAUACCCAUACCUAGCUAGGCUAGCUGCUCAAUGGUCCAGCGUGUUCGCAUCAAUCCAUUAAUCCUAUCCAUAACGACGUCAUAUUUAGUGAGCUGCUUCUCUCUUUCGUCAAUAUUCAACACACAAACAUCGAUCGAAGACGGCAAAGUUUACCAACUCCAUUUAUAUAUAUAUAUAUAUAUAUAAAUUAUUGCAUAAUUUAAGCCACACACAGCAAUAAUAAUAAGUCCCAUCAAUGCAUUACUGUUAUUAUUUGUGUGGUGUAAUUAAGUUAAACGUAACUUAACAUUCAUAUUUUAUAUAUAUAUAUAUAUAUAUAUAUAUAUAUAUAUAUAUAUAUAUAUAUAUAUGACUGACACUAUAUUACGUACACGUAACUUACAUCUCUGUUACAUAUAUAUAUAUAUAUAUUCAAUUAUCUAGUCUAACGGAGAACAUAAUUCGAACUUCAUCGCAAACAAAAAAAAAAUUCAUCAUAACCAUAGCACAGCAACUCCAUUUAAUCGACAAGCGUUAAACAUUCAGAGAAGCAACUUAUUUAUUAAUAAUAAAACAUAUAUGCUCAUCACGACCGUCCACGAAGGGAUGAUCUUGGCUCUUACAAAAUGACAAUCAAAAACAUGUCCUAAACCCAAAAACCAGCAACCUUUCAUCUCCGCCCACAGCUUAGCAAUCCUCACAUCACAUACAAUUAUAUGAUAUAAAAACAUCACAGAGUCUUUAGUUUACUUUUAGUCAGCAGCAUUUUAAAACCAAACUUUAGAUAGGAAGGACACGUAAUACAAAUAGCAUUAACAAAACGACAAGGACACGUUGCGAAAUCCAAAACGAAACGACACUAUCUACAGACUACAGGCAACUCAUCCGGUGAGUUGGUGACCCAUCAC